UACGUAGGGGGCAAGCGUUGUCCGGAAUCAUUGGGCGUAAAGCGCGCGUAGGCGGCCCGGUAAGUCCGCUGUGAAAGUCCAGGGCUCAACCCUGGAAAGCCGGUGGAUACUGUGAGGCUAGAGUACGGAAGAGGCGAGUGGAAUUCCUGGUGUAGCGGUGGAAUGCGCAGAUAUCAGGAGGAACACCAAUAGCGAAGGCAGCUCGCUGGGACGUUACUGACACUGAGGCGCGAAAGCGUGGGGAGCGAACAGG
This 253-nucleotide ribosomal RNA is filed under the name uncultured bacterium. RNAcentral's name for it is "partial 16S ribosomal RNA". It matches the Rfam family "Bacterial small subunit ribosomal RNA", at positions 524 to 776 of the family's 1533-position model. The record is from RNAcentral.